UACGGAGGGUGUGAGCGUUGUUCGGAAUCACUGGGCGUAAAGGGCGUGUAGGCGGUCCGCUAAGUCUGAUGUGAAAGCCCGGGGCUCACCCCCGGAAGGGCGUUGGAAACUGACGGACUCGAGUCCCGAAGAGGAGGGUGGAAUUCCUGGUGUAGCGGUGAAAUGCGUAGAUAUCAGGAGGAACACCGGUGGCGAAGGCGGCCCUCUGGACGGUGACUGACGCUGAGACGCGAAAGCGUGGGGAGCAAACAGG
This 253-nucleotide ribosomal RNA is filed under the name uncultured bacterium. Its description in RNAcentral is "partial 16S ribosomal RNA". It matches the Rfam family "Bacterial small subunit ribosomal RNA", at positions 524 to 776 of the family's 1533-position model. The record is from RNAcentral.